Mustela lutreola (European mink) is the source of this 1407-nucleotide long non-coding RNA. RefSeq lists it as uncharacterized. The transcript is spliced from 2 exons. The record is from RefSeq and is a predicted model, not a curated record. Lineage: Eukaryota; Metazoa; Chordata; Mammalia; Carnivora; Mustelidae.
CUCCCACUGGCCUGAAUUUACCAAGGGCCUACCGGAUAGGUGGCCCUGUUUAGACACUUCCGAUACAGCCGUGAACAGGCAUGCAGACAUCCCCGCUUCCAUGAACACUGAGCUGAUUUUCUAGUGGGGCCGAAACAGCCAGCACACGAAAUAAAAAACCCAGUUACACCCUGAUUACCCACUGAUCCUAUGGCUCAGUGCCGAGCCCUGUGUGGAGUGCGUGACCACGUCACCUGCUCCAGACCGCAACUUUACCCUGCGAGGUAAAGUUUCGAAGUCCCUCUGUCAUGCGAACACUAGACAGGAGAACUGGGGCUUGUGCCCCGGCCAGCCUCCUGCCCAAGCCCAUGUUCCCUGGGACUCUUUCUCUUCUUUCCCGAUGUCCUUUGCCAAAUUGGGUCUUUCUGUCCUGAUCCUUCAGGAACCGAGGGCUUCACGUCUGCUCCCACCUCUUCCACAUGGAGGUUUCAGGGUGCCCCCGGGGCCACCAUCCCCGGCACACACUCCUGCACCCCUGCGCACAGCGACAGACCCAUCUCUCCCAGGCAGCACGUGCAUGCAAGGAACAGGCUGCCGUAACUGGCCGGAGUGUGACCACACCUUGGAGGUCUCCCCUGGUGGAUGCUUCUGCGCCAGGGCCGGGCCUCUCCCCAGCCAUGCUGCCACCUCCCAGGACCUUGAAGUUUGGGUUGGAGUCCCCAUGGCCUCUACUAGAGGGAGCCAGGAACCAGGGCUGCACCCCCCACUUCCCAGGGACUGGCCCAGCCCCGACAGCCUCCAUGAGAUUCCCCAAAGCAUUCCUCUGUGUGACAGAGCCAGGACAUUGCACCAGGCUCCUGCCUCGGUGUAGGCCCGCGAGUUGCCCCCCAGGUUACAAGUGGGAUGCACUGCUGCCCGCCUCCCCCCAAGGUGAAGAGGUUGACGCAGGAUGAUAAUGACAGGUCCCGCCCAGGCUGGAGGUGAGGUCUGCCCCUUGGUUCACUCUGUGCUCCAAGCACAGCCUCGGGCAUCCGGCCUGGAGCUGUGGAAAGGCAAACCUGACCUUGCCCGCGUAGAGUUUAUAGUCUGAUUAAUAACUGUGUCCCCCUGAAAAAGUUACUGACUUCUCUGGGCCCCGAGUUUCAUAUCUAUAAAGCAGAGGUAACAGCAGUCCCUGCUUCCUGAGGUCCUGUGGGGCUAAAGAAGGCCUUGAACCUGCUGGGUGGAUAGUAAAUGGUAGCUGGGUUAUUGUUAUGGAAGGGUGGAUAGUAAACGGUAGCUGGGUUAUUGUUAUGGAAGGGUGGAUAGUAAACGGUAGCUGGGUUAUUGUUAUGGAAGGGUGGAUAGUAAAGGGUAGCUGGGUUAUUGUUAUGGAAGGGUGGAUAGUAAACGGUAGCUGGGUUAUUGUUAUGGAAAAGAAGCCUUGAA